Molecule: ribosomal RNA, 427 nt
Filed under: uncultured bacterium
Lineage: Bacteria
Description: partial 16S ribosomal RNA
Rfam family: Bacterial small subunit ribosomal RNA
Source: RNAcentral
UGGGGUAUAUUGGACAAUGGGCGAAAGCCUGAUCCAGCCAUGCCGCGUGUAUGAAGAAGGUCUUCGGAUUGUAAAGCACUUUAAGUUGGGAGGAAGGGCAUUAACCUAAUACGUUAGUGUUUUGACGUUACCGACAGAAUAAGCACCGGCUAACUCUGUGCCAGCAGCCGCGGUAAUACAGAGGGUGCAAGCGUUAAUCAGAAUUACUGGGCGUAAAGCGCGCGUAGGUGGUUUGUUAAGUUGGAUGUGAAAUCCCCGGGCUCAACCUGGGAACUGCAUUCAAAACUGACUGACUAGAGUAUGGUAGAGGGUGGUGGAAUUUCCUGUGUAGCGGUGAAAUGCGUAGAUAUAGGAAGGAACACCAGUGGCGAAGGCGACCACCUGGACUAAUACUGACACUGAGGUGCGAAAGCGUGGGGAGCAAACA